GAUGAACGCUAGCGGCAGGCCUAACACAUGCAAGUCGAACGGCAGCGGCACUUCGGUGGCCGGCGAGUGGCGGAUGGGUGAGUAACGCGUAUGCAACCUACCUUACACAGUGGGAUAGCCCAGAGAAAUUUGGAUUAAUACCGCAUAGUAUGCAGGGCCGUCAUCGGUUUUGCAUUAAACAUUUAUGGGUGAGAGAUGGGCAUGCGUUCUAUUAGUUAGUUGGAGUGGUAACGGCACCCCAAGACCGCGAUAGAUAGGGGCCCUGAGAGGGGGAUCCCCCACACUGGUACUGAGACACGGACCAG
RNAcentral lists this ribosomal RNA (305 nucleotides) under uncultured bacterium. RNAcentral describes it as "bacterial SSU rRNA". It matches the Rfam family "Bacterial small subunit ribosomal RNA", at positions 28 to 334 of the family's 1533-position model. The record is from RNAcentral.